This 575-nucleotide ribosomal RNA is filed under the name Schizophyllum commune. RNAcentral describes it as "LSU rRNA". It matches the Rfam family "Eukaryotic large subunit ribosomal RNA", at positions 89 to 650 of the family's 3401-position model. Lineage: Eukaryota; Fungi; Basidiomycota; Agaricomycetes; Agaricales; Schizophyllaceae. The record is from RNAcentral.
GCGAGUGAGCGGGAAAGCUCAAAUUUAAAAUCUGGCGGUCUCCGGCCGUCCGAGUUGUAAUUUAGAGAAGCGUUAUCCGUGCUGGACCGUGUAUAAGUCUCCUGGAAUGGAGCGUCAUAGAGGGUGAGAAUCCCGUCUUUGACACGGACUACCAGUGCAUUGUGAUGCGCUCUCGACGAGUCGAGUUGUUUGGGAAUGCAGCUCAAAAUGGGUGGUAAAUGCCAUCUAAAGCUAAAUAUUGGCGAGAGACCGAUAGCGAACAAGUACCGUGAGGGAAAGAUGAAAAGAACUUUGGAAAGAGAGUUAAACAGUACGUGAAAUUGUCGAAAGGGAAACGGUUGCAGUCAGUCGCGUCCGCCGGGGAUCAACCUUGCUUUUGCUUGGCGUAUUUCCCGGUGGAUGGGUCAGCAUCAGUUUUGACCGCAGUUGAAAGGCUGGAGGAAUGUGGCACCUUCGGGUGUGUUAUAGCCUCCUGUCAUAUGCUGCGGUUGGGACUGAGGAACUCAGCACGCCGCAAGGCCGGGAUUCGUCCACGUUCGUGCUUAGGAUGCUGGCAUAAUGUCUGUAACCGACCC